UACGGAGGAUGCGAGCGUUAUCCGGAUUCAUUGGGUUUAAAGGGUACGUAGGUGGCCCGGUAAGUCAGUGGUGAAAACCUGCCGCUUAACGGUAGGCGUGCCAUUGAUACUGUCGGGCUUGAGUGCAGUUGAGGCAGGCGGAAUGUGUAGUGUAGCGGUGAAAUGCAUAGAUAUUACACAGAACUCCGAUUGCGAAGGCAGCUUGCUAAAGUGCAACUGACGCUGAUGUACGAAAGCGUGGGUAGCGAAC
This 250-nucleotide ribosomal RNA is filed under the name uncultured bacterium. Its description in RNAcentral is "partial 16S ribosomal RNA". It matches the Rfam family "Bacterial small subunit ribosomal RNA", at positions 524 to 773 of the family's 1533-position model. The record is from RNAcentral.